UACGGAGGAUCCGAGCGUUAUCCGGAUUUAUUGGGUUUAAAGGGUGCGUAGGCGGGUUUGUAAGUCAGUGGUGAAAUCCUGCAGCUUAACUGUAGAACUGCCAUUGAUACUGCAAGCCUUGAGUACAUAUGAUGUGGGCGGAAUGUGUAGUGUAGCGGUGAAAUGCUUAGAUAUUACACAGAACACCGAUUGCGAAGGCAGCUCACAAAACUGUAACUGACGCUGAGGCACGAAAGCGUGGGGAGUGAACAGGAUUAGAUACCCUGGUAAUCCACGCCUUAAACGAUGAUUACUCGAUGUGUGCGAUAUACAGCACGCGUCCUAGCGAAAGCGUUAAGUAAUCCACCUGGGGAGUACGAUCGCAAGGUUGAA
RNAcentral lists this ribosomal RNA (372 nucleotides) under uncultured bacterium. Its description in RNAcentral is "bacterial SSU rRNA". It matches the Rfam family "Bacterial small subunit ribosomal RNA", at positions 524 to 898 of the family's 1533-position model. The record is from RNAcentral.